RNAcentral lists this ribosomal RNA (492 nucleotides) under uncultured bacterium. RNAcentral describes it as "partial 16S ribosomal RNA". It matches the Rfam family "Bacterial small subunit ribosomal RNA", at positions 29 to 507 of the family's 1533-position model. The record is from RNAcentral.
AGUGAACGCUGGCGGUAGGCCUAACACAUGCAAGUCGAACGGCAGCACAGUAAGAGCUUGCUCUUACGGGUGGCGAGUGGCGGACGGGUGAGGAAUACAUCGGAAUCUACUUUUUCGUGGGGGAUAACGUAGGGAAACUUACGCUAAUACCGCAUACGACCUACGGGUGAAAGCAGGGGAUCUUCGGACCUUGCGCGAUUGAAUGAGCCGAUGUCGGAUUAGCUAGUUGGCGGGGUAAAGGCCCACCAAGGCGACGAUCCGUAGCUGGUCUGAGAGGAUGAUCAGCCACACUGGAACGGAGACACGGACCAGACUCCUACGGGAGGCAGCAGUGGGGAAUAGUGGACAAUGGGCGCAAGCCUGAUCCAGCCAUACCGCGUGGGUGAAGGAGGCCUUCGGGUUGUAAAGCCCUUUUGUUGGGAAAGAAAAGCAGCAGGUUAAUACCCCGCUGUUCUGACGGUACCCAAAGAAUAAGCACCGGCUAACUUCGUG